RNAcentral lists this RNase P RNA (207 nucleotides) under Gammaproteobacteria bacterium. RNAcentral describes it as "partial RNase P RNA component class A". It matches the Rfam family "Bacterial RNase P class A", at positions 170 to 367 of the family's 367-position model. Rfam says of the family: Ribonuclease P (RNase P) is a ubiquitous endoribonuclease, found in archaea, bacteria and eukarya as well as chloroplasts and mitochondria. Its best characterised activity is the generation of mature 5'-ends of tRNAs by cleaving the 5'-leader elements of precursor-tRNAs. The record is from RNAcentral. Lineage: Bacteria; Pseudomonadati; Pseudomonadota; Gammaproteobacteria.
AGAGCGCACCGCGGCCUUGGUAACAAGGCUGGCACGGCAAACCCCACCUGGAGCAAGGCCAAAUAGGGAAGCAGCGGGCUCUGGCAACAGAGCGCGCAGCGCCGAUCCGCGCGCGCUUCCGGGUAGGCUGCUACAGGUCCACGGCGACGUGGAUCGCAGAGGAAUGAUUACCCUCGACAAAACCCGGCUUACAGGCCGGCUCCCACC